RNAcentral lists this ribosomal RNA (410 nucleotides) under uncultured bacterium. RNAcentral describes it as "bacterial SSU rRNA". It matches the Rfam family "Bacterial small subunit ribosomal RNA", at positions 355 to 794 of the family's 1533-position model. The record is from RNAcentral.
UAGGGAAUCUUCCGCAAUGGGCGAAAGCCUGACGGAGCAACGCCGCGUGAGUGAUGAAGGUUUUCGGAUCGUAAAGCUCUGUUGCCAGAGAAGCGGUAUCUGAGAAGAAAGCCCCGGCUAACUACGUGCCAGCAGCCGCGGUAAUACGUAGGGGGCAAGCGUUGUCCGGAAUUAUUGGGCGUAAAGCGCGCGCAGGCGGCGGUUUAAGUUUGGUGUUUAAGCCCGGGGCUCAACCCGGUUGCACUGAAAACUGGAUCGCUUGAGUGCAGGAGAGGGAAGGGAAUUCACGUGUAGCGGUGAAAUGCGUAGAGAUGUGGAGGAACACCAGUGGCGAAGGCGACUUCCUGGCCUGUAACUGACGCUGAGGCGCGAAAGCGUGGGGAGCAAACAGGAUUAGAUACCCUAGUAGU